This 348-nucleotide long non-coding RNA is filed under the name Brassica napus (rape). RNAcentral's name for it is "long non-coding RNA (BNAP_LNC003554)". The record is from RNAcentral. Lineage: Eukaryota; Viridiplantae; Streptophyta; Magnoliopsida; Brassicales; Brassicaceae.
AUAUCCCAAUGGUAAAUUAAUUUAGACAUUAGGGUUUAGAGUUAAAGGGUGGGGUUUAGGAUUUAGGGUUUAUGGUUUAGGGUUUAGAGUUAAAGGGUGAGAUUUAGGAUUUAGGGUUUAGGGUUUAGGAUUUAGGGGUGAGGUUUAGGGUUUAGGAUUUAGGGUUUAGGGUUUAGAAUUUAGGGUUUAGAGUUUAGAGUUUAGGUUUUAGGGUUUAGAGUUGGGGAAUGAGAUUUUGGGAUAAGAUUUCAAAUUUUGAAAAAUAAAAAAAAUUUAAAUUUUUCAAAAGAUAAAAUGCUAUUUUGGUCAUUUUAGUUUUUAAGGGCUAUUUUUGUGACAUAAACUUAG